AUAUACGUGAGUGUGUGUGUGUGUGUGUUUGUGCUAUUUUUCAAGGGAUUAAAUUUAAAUUAGAAAAGGACACAAUGUUGUUUUUCUUUGUAAACAACACUGUUAUGCAGUUGGGAAACUCACCGCACCAGUCUAGUUGUAAUGGUCGGAGAGACAUGUAACCCAUCAUUUUGCAAAUUGUACUCCAUCAACGGUAGAAGGAGUACUUUUGCCAUAACUCUGGACCUGCAAUUGCUUCAAUGUUGGUCCUCUCACUGGUCUAAUGCACCUAUAACAGGAUUAAUAACACCAUGUCAUCUGUACUUCCCUACCGAAAUCCCCGUAUUCUUGAUCGCUAACCUGUCAUGUAGGAGGUUUGAGAAAUACCGGCUAGUUCAGAGUCCAAUCGAUUUUGUUGCUUGAUAUGACCCCAGAAAUUCAAUUUUUAUCAUUUUGGUACCGCUAUAAAUUUACGUGUAACCUUUUUUAAUGCCCCCUCUUUUUUUUUAAUCCGUU
Molecule: long non-coding RNA, 495 nt
Filed under: Androctonus crassicauda
Lineage: Eukaryota; Metazoa; Arthropoda; Arachnida; Scorpiones; Buthidae
Source: RNAcentral